Molecule: long non-coding RNA, 1765 nt
Filed under: Homo sapiens (human)
Lineage: Eukaryota; Metazoa; Chordata; Mammalia; Primates; Hominidae
Description: HSALNT0298904
Source: RNAcentral
CAUGUCACCACAGUGGUGACCCUUCUCUCUGACUCAUUUCCCAUUAUGAGCACAAUUAGCGUGCAGCAUGUGUCCUGGGAGAUUAAUGAUCCGCUGGAGGGAAGAAAGAGGAACUUGGGGAAUGGAUCUGGGUGUAGUCAGAGCUCGCCUCUCCCUGGGAGCUGCCUUGGUGCUGUAAAGGAUCUCAUGUCUUUUGCCAGCUUUGAUGAAACUUGCUAGUUGGAAAGCAGAGUGAAAUCUCAGGCUCUACAACUCUUGACAUAAGUAUUUUAUUCAUUUUUGGUGUCUAUGUUCUUGAAGUACUUAAGAGAUUUGGGGCUAUGCAAGUAAUAGACCAACUUUGUGAUUCAUAUUAAAAUUAAGUGAUUUAAACGCAGGAUUUUUAAUUUGAAAUUAUUUAAGUUUAUAAACAGUAUGGGAACAUUUAGAAAGACCUGGAUUCAUUCUGUUUAUAAUUGUAAUCCAUUAAAUUUAUGAAAAUUACCUAAGAAAUCUGAAAAGGUUUGGUUUAGCCAUCAGGCAAUUGAAGUACCUAAACAAGGAAAUAAAAUAUAUUAAAUUUAUAAAUCUUACUUUAAAUGUUUGAAUGAGUUAAAUAACUCCGUUUGUAUUGGGACCAAACUCUUUAACUCUUUAAGACUGCCUUAAAUCAUUUUGUUAAAAAUCUUAGAUUGAUUUCCACUUCUAUGUAGAGAGUUAGAAAGUAUAUCACCUCUACCCUAACAACAAGAAUAUGACAAAUGAAAUACAAAAUGAUAAUGUUCCUUGAACUCAUCAGAGGACUGACAUCACAGGGCAACUAAGCAACUAGAAUUCCAAAGAAGGACAAGCCCCUCCAAAGACAGGAAGCAUGAGGGCAGGCUCAUCAGUGUCAGAGCAGGGGAGACCAGCACAGACACCUUACAAGCAGAAUGACCUUCUGUGGCUACAGAGAAAGGCUUCAGGCAAAGAGAUGCAGCUCUGGGCCCCAGAGUCCGCUGGAGCACACUGAAGCUGGAGCACACUGAAGUGGAAGAUGGGGCUGCAGACAGAGACUGGGCAGCCUCUGCUCCAGGGAGGCCCGAGAGCCAGAGAGCAGAUUCCAUAAGAAGAAUAACUCCCAUUCCUCAUGCAUGAGACCCUCUGCUAAAUGCUUCCUGUGCACCACCUCCAGAAAUCCUCCCAAGCCAGGACACCAGCAGUAUUACAGGUAAGAAAAUGGAGGCUCCCAGAGAUUUGACAACCUGCCCGCAGCAAUGACCAAAUCAGACUUGGUGCUAAGUCUGCACCUCCCCAAAGAACUGGAUGACAAAAAGAAGAGCCGAUAUAACCAGGAACCUACUCUGGCCACCCCAAGUGCUCCGCAUCAAGACUCAGCUGCAGAGAUGACUUCAGUGCAAGUCACAUACACACCAUUGGGCUGGUACCCGUGGCAGCUCUGCAGGGCUUCCAUAUUGGUCAUGGAUUUGGAUGGUGAGAAGAGCUGAGACAGACGGCACAGGUUCUCAGGAUGCUUGAGGCAGGCUGAGCUCCACGAGCAGAGACCAGGCUGAUGCAUGCUCCACAUCUUGCAUGCUUUGCUUAAAGAAUGAGCGAAAGGAGUAAAUGAAAUUGGUUCUUUCAAAGCAACAAGAACAUUUGUGACAUAUCUGCUAAGGUGGUGAGGGACAAAGAUGAAGGACUGCAGAGCUGUCUCAUAGGCUCCUUUGAGCAAAGCAUUCCUCCUCCAGGUUGAUUGAGAAUCAUCCAGGGAGAUGGGGGAAAUUCUGCCUUCACAAAGUUUCAG